Molecule: ribosomal RNA, 253 nt
Filed under: uncultured bacterium
Lineage: Bacteria
Description: partial 16S ribosomal RNA
Rfam family: Bacterial small subunit ribosomal RNA
Source: RNAcentral
UACGUAGGUGACAAGCGUUGUCCGGAUUUACUGGGCGUAAAGAGCGCGCAGGCGGUCGAUCAAGUCGAGUGUGAAAGCCCCCGGCUCAACUGGGGAGGGUCAUUCGAUACUGAUCGACUCGAAGGCAGGAGAGGGUAGUGGAAUUCCCGGUGUAGUGGUGAAAUGCGUAGAUAUCGGGAGGAACACCUGUGGCGAAGGCGGCCCCCUGGUUGGAUACUGACGCUGAUACGCGAAAGCGUGGGGAGCAAACAGG